GACGAACGCUGGCGGCGUGGAUUAGGCAUGCAAGUCGAACGGUAUCAUCCUUUCGGGGGUGAGAGAGUGGCGAACUGGUGAGUAACACGUAGGUUAUCUACCCUCAAGACGGGGACAACCCAGGGAAACUUGGGCUAAUACCGGAUGUGAGCAACUUUUAGUUGUUUGAAAGGUGGCGUAAGCUGUCGCUUGGGGAUGAGCCUGCGUCCUAUUAGUUAGUUGGUGAGGUAACGGCUCACCUAGGCAAUGAUAGGUAGGCGGCCUUAACGGGUGGUCGCCCACACUGGGAUUGAGAUACGGCCCAGACUCCUACGGGAGGCAGCAGUCGAGAAUAGUCUACAAUGGUCGGAAGACUGAUAGUGCGACGCCGCGUGAACGAUGAAUCCCUUCGGGGUGUAAAGUUCUUUUAUAUGUGAGCAGUGCUUCUUAUAUUAACAGUAUGGGGAAGAGAUAUUAGCAUAUGAAUAAGCAACGGCUAACUCCGUGCCAGCAGCCGCGGUAAA
Molecule: ribosomal RNA, 503 nt
Filed under: uncultured bacterium
Lineage: Bacteria
Description: bacterial SSU rRNA
Rfam family: Bacterial small subunit ribosomal RNA
Source: RNAcentral